RNAcentral lists this ribosomal RNA (468 nucleotides) under uncultured bacterium. RNAcentral describes it as "partial 16S ribosomal RNA". It matches the Rfam family "Bacterial small subunit ribosomal RNA", at positions 28 to 507 of the family's 1533-position model. The record is from RNAcentral.
GACGAACGCUGGCGGCGUGCUUAACACAUGCAAGUCGAACGGAAAGGCCCUGCUUUCGUGGGGUGCUCGAGUGGCGAACGGGUGAGUAACAUGUGAGUAACCUGCCCUUGACUUUGGGAUAACUUCAGGAAACUGGGGCUAAUACCGGAUAGGAGCUCCUGCUGCAUGGUGGGGGUUGGAAAGUUUCGGCGGUUGGGGAUGGACUCGCGGCUUAUCAGCUUGUUGGUGGGGUAGUGGCUUACCAAGGCAUUGACGGGUAGCCGGCCUGAGAGGGUGACCGGCCACAUUGGGACUGAGAUACGGCGCAGACUGCUACGGGAGGCAGCAGUGGGGAAUAUUGCACAAUGGGCGGAAGCGUGAUGCAGCAACGCCGCGUGCGGGAUGACGGCCUUCGGGUUGUAAAGCGCUUUCGCCUGUGACGAAGCGUGAGUGACGGUAAUGGGUAAAGAAGCACCGGCUAACUACGUG